GUCUUCGUGGUGUAGUGGUUAGCACACACGACGUGUAUUCGAGAGGUCCGACGUGUAUUCGAGAGGUCCGUGGUUCGAAUCCCGGCGAGGGCA
Molecule: transfer RNA, 93 nt
Filed under: Stegodyphus mimosarum
Lineage: Eukaryota; Metazoa; Arthropoda; Arachnida; Araneae; Eresidae
Rfam family: tRNA
About the family: Transfer RNA (tRNA) molecules are approximately 80 nucleotides in length. Their secondary structure includes four short double-helical elements and three loops (D, anti-codon, and T loops).
Source: Rfam by way of RNAcentral